This 225-nucleotide ribosomal RNA is filed under the name uncultured Pseudomonas sp. RNAcentral describes it as "partial 16S ribosomal RNA". It matches the Rfam family "Bacterial small subunit ribosomal RNA", at positions 568 to 792 of the family's 1533-position model. The record is from RNAcentral. Lineage: Bacteria; Pseudomonadati; Pseudomonadota; Gammaproteobacteria; Pseudomonadales; Pseudomonadaceae.
CGCGUAGGUGGUUCGUUAAGUUGGAUGUGAAAUCCCCGGGCUCAACCUGGGAACUGCAUUCAAAACUGACGAGCUAGAGUAUGGUAGAGGGUGGUGGAAUUUCCUGUGUAGCGGUGAAAUGCGUAGAUAUAGGAAGGAACACCAGUGGCGAAGGCGACCACCUGGACUGAUACUGACACUGAGGUGCGAAAGCGUGGGGAGCAAACAGGAUUAGAUACCCCAGUA